GCCGCGUUCGUCUAGUGGCCUAGGACAUUGGGUUUUCAGCCCAAGAAUCAGGGGUUCGAAUCCCCUACGCGGUA
RNAcentral lists this transfer RNA (74 nucleotides) under Candidatus Levyibacteriota bacterium. RNAcentral describes it as "Candidatus Levybacteria bacterium tRNA-Glu". It matches the Rfam family "tRNA". Rfam says of the family: Transfer RNA (tRNA) molecules are approximately 80 nucleotides in length. Their secondary structure includes four short double-helical elements and three loops (D, anti-codon, and T loops). Lineage: Bacteria; Candidatus Levyibacteriota. The record is from RNAcentral.